This 556-nucleotide long non-coding RNA is filed under the name Cottoperca gobio. RNAcentral describes it as "lncRNA (ENSCGOG00000012465.1)". The record is from RNAcentral. Lineage: Eukaryota; Metazoa; Chordata; Actinopteri; Perciformes; Bovichtidae.
AUGAAUGAUUUAACAGAUGAGGAGGACGGCUCAGUGUCUCCAGUCCCGAGCUGUCUGUCUCUGAAGAGUGACAGGUCUAAGGACAAACGUAUAAACUUCAGUAAUGAACCUGGACCCUCAGACACAAAACAGAGAGCAGUGUCUCCAGUCCCCAGCUGUCUGUCUGUGAAGAGUGACUCGUCUAGAGAAGAACCUCUAAACUUCAGUAAUGAACCUGGACCCUCAGACACAAAACAGAGAGGAGUGUCUCCAGUCCCCAGCUGUCUGUCUGUGAAGAGUGACUGGUCUAGAGAAGAACCUCCAGAAUUCAGUAAUGAACCUGGACCCUCAGACACAAAACAGAGAGGAGUGUCUCCAGUCCCCAGCUGUCUGUCUGUGAAGAGUGACUGGUCUAGAGAAGAACCUCCAGAAUUCAGUAAUGAACCUGGACCCUCAGACACAAAGUAAGAGUCUGUUUCUACUGUAAACUGACCUGAAGAGGAUUCAGUUUUUAUGUUCUCUGAUAAUCUAAUGUUUUAUAAUUACAUGAGCCCAGUAGAGUACAGGAAAGAAACAC